GUCGGAAUAGUUUAAUGGUAAAAUAUUUACCUUGUAAGUAAAGGUUGUAGGUUCGAUUCCAACUUUCGACA
RNAcentral lists this transfer RNA (71 nucleotides) under Serendipita sp. 407. Its description in RNAcentral is "tRNA-Thr". It matches the Rfam family "tRNA". From Rfam's summary of the family: Transfer RNA (tRNA) molecules are approximately 80 nucleotides in length. Their secondary structure includes four short double-helical elements and three loops (D, anti-codon, and T loops). Further hydrogen bonds mediate the characteristic L-shaped molecular structure. tRNAs have two regions of fundamental functional importance: the anti-codon, which is responsible for specific mRNA codon recognition, and the 3' end, to which the tRNAs corresponding amino acid is attached (by aminoacyl-tRNA synthetases). tRNAs cope with the degeneracy of the genetic code in two manners: having more than one tRNA (with a specific anti-codon) for a particular amino acid; and 'wobble' base-pairing, i.e. permitting non-standard base-pairing at the 3rd anti-codon position. The record is from RNAcentral. RNAcentral also lists the same sequence under 8 other names. Lineage: Eukaryota; Fungi; Basidiomycota; Agaricomycetes; Sebacinales; Serendipitaceae.